UAGGGAAUCUUCGGCAAUGGACGAAAGUCUGACCGAGCAACGCCGCGUGAGUGAAGAAGGUUUUCGGAUCGUAAAACUCUGUUGUUAGAGAAGAACAAGGACGUUAGUAACUGAACGUCCCCUGACGGUAUCUAACCAGAAAGCCACGGCUAACUACGUGCCAGCAGCCGCGGUAAGACGUAGGUGGCAAGCGUUGUCCGGAUUUAUUGGGCGUAAAGCGAGCGCAGGCGGUUUCUUAAGUCUGAUGUGAAAGCCCCCGACUCAACCGGGGAGGGUCAUUGGAAACUGGGAGACUUGAGUGCAGAAGAGGAGAGUGGAAUUCCAUGUGUAGCGGUGAAAUGCGUAGAUAUAUGGAGGAACACCAGUGGCGAAGGCGGCUCUCUGGUCUGUAACUGACGCUGAGGCUCGAAAGCGUGGGGAGCAAACAGG
Molecule: ribosomal RNA, 429 nt
Filed under: Gemmatimonadota bacterium
Lineage: Bacteria; Pseudomonadati; Gemmatimonadota
Description: Gemmatimonadetes bacterium partial 16S ribosomal RNA
Rfam family: Bacterial small subunit ribosomal RNA
Source: RNAcentral